This is a long non-coding RNA of Mytilus californianus (California mussel), 239 nucleotides long. RefSeq lists it as uncharacterized. The transcript is spliced from 2 exons. NCBI's taxonomy places the organism in Eukaryota, Metazoa, Mollusca, Bivalvia, Mytilida, Mytilidae. The record is from RefSeq and is a predicted model, not a curated record.
AGUUUUGAAUUACUAUUAUAAUUAUUUAUACUUUCGUAGCAAAAGUAUAAUUAACAGUUUAUGUGAAUUGAUCAGGAAAAUAAAAUUGUUUUGUUAAAGAACACGUGCAAGAUUCUGCCAUGCAGUUUCUUUUGUGUAAAUUAGGACUUUAUAUUUUAGUAUGGACUUUGAGGCAGAGGAGAUAUUUUGUAUAAGAAAAUAAAAGUUUAAGCUGGUCACUGCGCCAUUCAGUACCCAAA